CCUUUGACGCUUGGUUCGCAAAUAGUUCUUGUUAUCACGAGGUGUGUACGUCAGGUUUAUUGAUCCACCAACUUGCCGACUUGCCAACUCAUGGGCUGCUUUCGGUACAAUUCCCGAAUCAUCUGCAGUUUCAAUAUCAAAAGCUUGCAAGGUUGAUAUCUUUCGUUGUGAUGGCAUCAAGUGGCAUGUUCCAGGCAACUGCAAGACAUGGUUAUGAUCAGUGACUAACUCAUGUACUUCAUAAUUUCCCGUUUCUCGGUCGAUGGUGAUUCCUAUUCGAACCUUGCAACCAGUCCUGGUUUCUGCACGAGGACGCUUGGUAUUAUGAUCUCUUUUGUCUAUUCUUCUGUAGCCUUCAUUGGAACAAACGUAUCUCGCGGAAGUUAUUGCACCAUCAAGUUUGCUCUUAUUUUCAUAAUUUACCCUUACGUCAAAACCAAUAUGACCUCCAUAACAAGUCCAAAAGUUCCAAGCCUCUUUUGUGGAAUUAAAUUUCAUACCAAUUUGAGGCAUCCAACUAGGAAUCAUAUUAUUUGUCAUGUAAAGGCAUAUCUUAAUUUAUUUGUCUAGUCACACUAUAAGAAUAUGAUGACAUAGCCUGAGAAUUUAACAAAAUUGCGUGUACCUGUUCGAAUCUUUAUUGGAGUUGGUCAUACUCUCCAUCAAACCUUGUCUUCUCCUUUUUGUAAUCUGUGAUUGCAUAGCAAACUCAGCCUAGAGGAAAUCUCUUGCUACCUUGAGAACAUGAAUACAAUCAGUGCAUAUGUCACAUACCUUGAGAUUUAUCGACUUCCUUUUUGUUGCUAGGAGAAGGAAGGUAAAAGGGAGAUCAUCUACAUUAAUCUCCUGUCAGGUAAUGGAAAUCCCAAACAUUUCAUGAGCAAAGCACCUAUGGUACAACUUCCACGUACAGAUCUGACUAUAUUCAUGUAUUUUAUCUUGAGGUUGUCCAAAACAAUAGAGAUCACUUCUGCUAUAAUCACUUUUUUCCACUAACAUCAUCUAGAAGAUGUAGAAAUAAAUUUUACAUCUCAUCCGUUCUUUAUCACUUCUGAUAUUCUACUAGUUGUUCGGGUUGUUCGGAGGGUUCGACUCCUCUGCAAUUUCGCUACUGCUGAAUUUAUCAAAAUUGAUGGUACCUGUUUGAAUCUUCAUUGGAGUUGGUCAUAUGCUCCACUAGACCUUGCACAAAUUCAGUAUAGGAGUUGUCUUGUUGCCUUCAGAACAUGAACAGAAUCAGACCACAUGUUAGAUCCCUAGAGAUUGAUCCGCUUCUUUUUUGUUGCUAGGAGAAUGGCAAAGGGGAGAUCAACAACACCACUUACAAAUCAGCGACAGGAGGACGAUCAGAGAUAGACAAAAGGGAGAUCUCUAUGCCAACGUGUGUUCUGGUUACAAGGAGGACGAAGACGGGCGGCGCGAAGGCAUGGAGAUAUUUGGCGCCAACCUGCGUUCUGUUUAGCGCCAACUUGCCGUACGAGUUUUUUUAGGGGAUCUGCCGUAGGAGAUUUUGCAGCCAACAGUUCAGGUGUUUGUUGUCAUUUAUUAUAAAAGAAUUAAAGGAGGAAAUAAGAGCGGUCAGAUUGAAAUUAACGGUUGAUGUACACCGGUGCUGUAAUAGCUGCACUGCAGAGGAGCCGGACCCGCGACCGGCGCGUCGGUUCGGCCGGCGCGCUGGUUGGAAACGAUUCCCUUCGGUUAUGCAAUGGAAUAAAAGGAAAGAAAGAAAAGAUGCACGAUUUAAGGGUCGCAAAAGAUCCUUCUCUCCUGACGGCGUCUCUCUUCUCUUCUCUGUUUUCCUUUAGCCUGUUUUCCUUUAGCCUCGUGCGUGCGUUGUGUUUUUCAGAGAAAAGUUCAGGGGAGAAAGGGUAGAUCGCUGCUUGAAACCUAACACGCAGUGCUCCGGCCGAGCUCGCGCUCGUGCUUGGGUUGACCUCCGUGUCUCGCCUCCAGCUCUCUGGUGCCGCGGGAAGGGCGCCCCCGUAUAGAUCUGCUUCCUCGACGUCACGGAGGUCUCCAAGGCGCAGAUCAGCCUCGGCCCCGAGCUCUUCUUCCCCUGUUUCGCGAUCCAGAAAGCUCGCCGUGUG
This 2087-nucleotide long non-coding RNA is filed under the name Hordeum vulgare. RNAcentral describes it as "long non-coding RNA (HVUL_LNC003408)". Lineage: Eukaryota; Viridiplantae; Streptophyta; Magnoliopsida; Poales; Poaceae. The record is from RNAcentral.